CGGUGUUCAACUGGCGUGUCCGCGGGACGUCCUGCCGGUGGGCUUAGCCCGCAAGGGCGGCCCAACUUCAAAUCCCAUCGCGGUGCUCUUCACUGAGUGUCGAGGUGGGCCGGCACGUUUACUUUGAACAAAUUAGAGUGCUUAAAGCAGGCUAAAACUUCGCCUGAAUACUGUGUGCAUGGAAUAAUGGAAUAGGACCUCGGUUCUAUUUUGUUGGCUUUCGGAACCCCGAGGUAAUGAUUAAUAGGAACGGAUGGGGGCAUUCGUAUUGCGACGUUAGAGGUGAAAUUCUUGGAUCGUCGCAAGACGGACAGAAGCGAAAGCAUUUGCCAAAAACGCUUUCAUUGAUCAAGAACGAAAGUUAGAGGUUCGAAGGCGAUCAGAUACCGCCCUAGUUCUAACCAUAAACGAUGCCAGCUAGCGAUCCGUCGACGUUCCUCCGAUGACUCGACGGGCAGCUUCCGGGAAACCAAAGCUUUUGGGUUCCGGGGGAAGUAUGGUUGCAAAGCUGAAACUUAAAGGAAUUGACGGAAGGGCACCACCAGGAGUGGAGCCUGCGGCUUAAUUUGACUCAACACGGGAAACCUCACCAGGCCCGGACACCGGAAGGAUUGACAGAUUGAGAGCUCUUUCUUGAUUCGGUGGGUGGUGGUGCAUGGCCGUUCUUAGUUGGUGGAGCGAUUUGUCUGGUUAAUUCCGAUAACGAACGAGACUCUAGCCUGCUAACUAGGCGUAUUUUCGACAUCUCAAAGGUCCGUCGUCCCGGCCCUCGGGUCGUGGGCGUGCGCGAUUUUUACUGUCGGCGUACUAUCAAUUCUUCUUAGAGGGACAGGUGGCUUCUAGCCGCACGAGAUUGAGCAAUAACAGGUCUGUGAUG
This 877-nucleotide ribosomal RNA is filed under the name uncultured eukaryote. Its description in RNAcentral is "SSU rRNA". It matches the Rfam family "Eukaryotic small subunit ribosomal RNA", at positions 636 to 1469 of the family's 1831-position model. The record is from RNAcentral.